UCAAGUAAUUAAGUGCAUGUGGUGGAUGCUUGGCAGUCAGAGGCGAUGAAAGACGUGAUAGCCUGCGAAAAGCUCCGGGGAGGCGGCAAAUAUCCUUUGAUCCGGAGAUGUCUGAAUGGGGGAACCCACCUACUUUAAGGUAGGUAUUGCAACAUGAAUACAUAGUGUUGCAAGGCGAACGAGGGGAAGUGAAACAUCUCAGUACCCUUAGGAAAAGAAAUCAAUUGAGAUUCCCUCAGUAGCGGCGAGCGAACGGGGAUCAGCCCAUUAAGUUAUGUGUGUUUUAGUGGAACGCUCUGGGAAGUGCGAACGUAGAGGGUGAUAUUCCCGUACACGAAAGGGCACACAUAAUGAUGACGAGUAGGGCGAGGCACGUGAAACCUUGUCUGAAUAUGGGGGGACCAUCCUCCAAGGCUAAAUACUCCUGACUGACCGAUAGUGAACCAGUACCGUGAGGGAAAGGCGAAAAGAACCCCUGUGAGGGGAGUGAAAUAGAUCCUGAAACCGCAUGCAUACAAGCAGUGGGAGCACCUUUGUGGUGUGACUGCGUACCUUUUGUAUAAUGGGUCAGCGACUUAUAUUCAGUAGCGAGGUUAACCGUAUAGGGGAGCCGUAGAGAAAUCGAGUCUUAAUAGGGCGUUUAGUUGCUGGGUAUAGACCCGAAACCAGGCGAUCUAUCCAUGAGCAGGUUGAAGGUUGGGUAACACUAACUGGAGGACCGAACCCACUGUCGUUGAAAAGCCAGGGGAUGACUUGUGGAUAGGGGUGAAAGGCUAAUCAAGCCUGGUGAUAGCUGGUUCUCCCCGAAAGCUAUUUAGGUAGCGCCUCGGACGAAUACCAUAGGGGGUAGAGCACUGUUUCGGCUAGGGGGUCAUCCCGACUUACCAAACCGAUGCAAACUCCGAAUACCUAUGAGUACUAUCCGGGAGACAGACUGCGGGUGCUAACGUCCGUAGUCAAGAGGAAAACAAUCCAGACCGCCAGCUAAGGCCCCAAAAUCAUAGUUAAGUGGGAAACGAUGUGGGAAGGCAUAGACAGCUAGGAGGUUGGCUUAGAAGCAGCCACCCUUUAAAGAAAGCGUAAUAGCUCACUAGUCGAGUCGGCCUGCGCGGAAGAUGUAACGGGGCUAAAACUAUGUGCCGAAGCUGCGGAUGUAUACUUUGUAUACGUGGUAGGGGAGCGUUCUGUAAGCCGAUGAAGGUGUGUUGAGAAGCAUGCUGGAGGUAUCAGAAGUGCGAAUGCUGACGUGAGUAACGACAAAACGGGUGAAAAACCCGUUCGCCGAAAGACCAAGGGUUCCAGUCCAACGUUAAUCGGGGCUGGGUGAGUCGACCCCUAAGGCGAGGCCGAAAGGCGUAGUCGAUGGGAAAAUGGUUAAUAUUCCAUUACUUCUGUGUAAUGCGAUGAGAGGACGGAGAAGGCUAAAUCAGCCUGGCGUUGGUUGUCCAGGUGAAAGGAUGUAGGCAUGUAUCUUAGGCAAAUCCGGGGUACUCUAUGCUGAGAUCUGAUAGCAAGCUGUACUUGUACAGCGAAGUGGUUGAUGCCAUGCUUCCAGGAAAAGUCUCUAAGCUUCAGUUACACAGGAAUCGUACCCGAAACCGACACAGGUGGUCAGGUCGAGUAGACCAAGGCGCUUGAGAGAACUCUGCUGAAGGAACUAGGCAAAAUGGUACCGUAACUUCGGGAGAAGGUACGCUGUUGUUGGUGAUGGAACUCGCUUCCUGAGCUGACGACAGCCGCAGAAACCAGGCCGCUGCAACUGUUUAUUAAAAACAUAGCACUCUGCAAACACGAAAGUGGACGUAUAGGGUGUGAUGCCUGCCCGGUGCUGGAAGGUUAAUUGAUGGGGUUAGCGUAAGCGAAGCUCUUGAUCGAAGCCCCAGUAAACGGCGGCCGUAACUAUAACGGUCCUAAGGUAGCGAAAUUCCUUGUCGGGUAAGUUCCGACCUGCACGAAUGGCAUAAUGAUGGCGGCGCUGUCUCCAGCAGAGGCUCAGUGAAAUCGAAAUCGCUGUGAAGAUGCAGUGUACCCGCGGCUAGACGGAAAGACCCCGUGAACCUUUACUGCAGCUUGACACUGAACUUUGACCUUACUUGUGUAGGAUAGGUGGGAGGCUUUGAAGCUGGAACGCUAGUUCCAGUGGAGCCGUCCUUGAAAUACCACCCUGGUAAUGUUGAGGUUCUAACUCUGUCCCGUGAUCCGGGACGAGGACCGUGUCUGGUGGGUAGUUUGACUGGGGCGGUCUCCUCCUAAAGAGUAACGGAGGAGUACGAAGGUGCGCUCAGCGUGGUCGGAAAUCACGCGUAGAGUAUAAAGGCAAAAGCGCGCUUAACUGCGAGACCCACAAGUCGAGCAGGUACGAAAGUAGGUCUUAGUGAUCCGGUGGUUCUGUAUGGAAGGGCCAUCGCUCAACGGAUAAAAGGUACUCUGGGGAUAACAGGCUGAUACCGCCCAAGAGUUCAUAUCGACGGCGGUGUUUGGCACCUCGAUGUCGGCUCAUCUCAUCCUGGGGCUGAAGCAGGUCCCAAGGGUAUGGCUGUUCGCCAUUUAAAGAGGUACGCGAGCUGGGUUUAGAACGUCGUGAGACAGUUCGGUCCCUAUCUACCGUGGGCGCUGGAAAUUUGAGAGGAUCUGCUCCUAGUACGAGAGGACCAGAGUGGACGAACCUCUGGUGUACCGGUUGUGACGCCAGUCGCAUCGCCGGGUAGCUAUGUUCGGAAGGGAUAACCGCUGAAAGCAUCUAAGCGGGAAGCCUACCUCAAGAUAAGAUUUCCCUAGGACUUUAUGUCCUCUAAAGAGCCGUUCGAGACUAGGACGUUGAUAGGUUGGAUGUGGAAGCAUAGUGAUAUGUGAAGCUGACCAAUACUAAUUGCUCGUGAGGCUUGACUAU
RNAcentral lists this ribosomal RNA (2890 nucleotides) under Acinetobacter baumannii ATCC 19606 = CIP 70.34 = JCM 6841. RNAcentral's name for it is "bacterial LSU rRNA". It matches the Rfam family "Bacterial large subunit ribosomal RNA". Lineage: Bacteria; Pseudomonadati; Pseudomonadota; Gammaproteobacteria; Moraxellales; Moraxellaceae. The record is from RNAcentral.